Molecule: long non-coding RNA, 805 nt
Organism: Schistocerca gregaria
Lineage: Eukaryota; Metazoa; Arthropoda; Insecta; Orthoptera; Acrididae
Exons: 2
Source: RefSeq, a predicted model, not a curated record
GUUUUAUUAUAUUUAUUUUUUGUUUAUUUAAUUAUUUAAUAUAAAUAAUUUUAUUGUAUUUUUGUCUUAGUAUAUUUUAUAGAAUUGAUUUUUUAAAUUAUAGUUUAUUGGUAAUGUAAGUGUUUUAUGAAAUAUUAUUUUAAAUUUUUUUAAGUAGAUUUUAUUUAUUGUACCUUUUGUAUCAGGGUUUAUCAAAAUUUUAGUAUUUAUUUUACUUGUCUCGAUUUGGGUUGAUUUAUAAAUAAUUUAUAGUUAAUGUAUCAUAAUUAUUAUUAAAUUAUUUAUAGAAAUGAGAUGUUAAUCGUUUCCCAAGAUAUCUAGUUUCUUAAGAAAAAAUUUAAUUUUUUAAAGUUAUUUGUUUUUAUUUAAUUUUUUAAGUAAAUAUAUUAACUUAUUUAUUCUUUAAGGGAUAAGCUUUGAAGUUAAUAACCUAUAAUUUAUUUUAUAGAAAUAUAAUAGUAAGCUUUAAACCAGCUAUCUUUAAGAUUACGUUUUAGUUCAUUAUUUUUUAUUUUGAUUUUAUAAAUAUUUUAGGUUUUUUAUUAAGAUUAUUAAUUUAAUUUUAAAAUUUUUGUAAUAAUGAUAGAAUUAGUAUAUUUAUUUGUAUGAAAUUUUUACCUUGUGAACUUAUUAUAAGGAACUAGGCAAAAUUGAUUUCCGCCUGUUUAUCAAAAACAUGUCCUCUUGUUUAUAUUUUGAGGUCUGGCCUGCUCACUGAGCGUAUUUUUAAAGAGCCGCGGUAUUUUGACCGUGCAAAGGUAGCAUAAUCAUUAGUCUCUUAAUUAGUGGCUGGAAUGAAUGGCUU